RNAcentral lists this ribosomal RNA (253 nucleotides) under uncultured bacterium. RNAcentral describes it as "partial 16S ribosomal RNA". It matches the Rfam family "Bacterial small subunit ribosomal RNA", at positions 524 to 776 of the family's 1533-position model. The record is from RNAcentral.
UACGUAGGGCGCAAGCGUUGUCCGGAAUUACUGGGCGUAAAGCGCACGUAGGCGGUCUUUUAAGUCGGGGGUGAAAUCCUGGAGCUCAACUCCAGAACUGCCUUCGAUACUGGAAGACUCGAGUCCGGGAGAGGUGAGUGGAACUGCGAGUGUAGAGGUGAAAUUCGUAGAUAUUCGCAAGAACACCAGUGGCGAAGGCGGCUCACUGGCCCGGUACUGACGCUGAGGUGCGAAAGCGUGGGGAGCAAACAGG